RNAcentral lists this microRNA precursor (76 nucleotides) under Pelobates cultripes (western spadefoot toad). Lineage: Eukaryota; Metazoa; Chordata; Amphibia; Anura; Pelobatidae. The record is from RNAcentral.
UGUGUGUGUGUGUGUGUGUGUGUAUAUGUGUGUGUGUAUAUAUACACACACACACACACACACACACACACACACA